Molecule: ribosomal RNA, 406 nt
Filed under: Bacillus velezensis
Lineage: Bacteria; Bacillati; Bacillota; Bacilli; Caryophanales; Bacillaceae
Description: partial 23S ribosomal RNA
Rfam family: Bacterial large subunit ribosomal RNA
Source: RNAcentral
CGAUGAAGGACGGGACGAACACCGAUAUGCUUCGGGGAGCUGUAAGCAAGCUUUGAUCCGGAGAUUUCCGAAUGGGGAAACCCACCACUCGUAAUGGAGUGGUAUCCAUAUCUGAAUACAUAGGAUAUGAGAAGGCAGACCCGGGGAACUGAAACAUCUAAGUACCCGGAGGAAGAGAAAGCAAAUGCGAUUCCCUGAGUAGCGGCGAGCGAAACGGGACCAGCCCAAACCAAGAGGCUUGCCUCUUGGGGUUGUAGGACACUCUGUACGGAGUUACAAAGGAACGAGGUAGAUGAAGAGGUCUGGAAAGGCCCGCCAUAGAAGGUAACAGCCCUGUAGUCAAAACUUCGUUCUCUCCUGAGUGGAUCCUGAGUACGGCGGAACACGUGAAAUUCCGUCGGAAUCC